GUAGUUUGAUCCUGGCUCAGGAUGAACGCUGGCGGCGUGCCUAACACAUGCAAGUCGAGCGAAGCACUUCAUUAGAACUCUUCGGAGGGACGAGGAAGUGACUGAGCGGCGGACGGGUGAGUAACGCGUGGGCAACCUGCCUUACACAGGGGGAUAACAGUUAGAAAUGACUGCUAAUACCGCAUAAGACCACAUUGCCGCAUGGCAGGGUGGUAAAAACUCCGGUGGUGUAAGAUGGGCCCGCGUCUGAUUAGGUAGUUGGCAGGGUAGAGGCCUACCAAGCCUACGAUCAGUAGCCGGCCUGAGAGGGUGGACGGCCACAUUGGGACUGAGACACGGCCCAAACUCCUACGGGAGGCAGCAGUGGGGAAUAUUGCACAAUGGGGGAAACCCUGAUGCAGCGACGCCGCGUGAGUGAGGAAGUAUUUCGGUAUGUAAAGCUCUAUCAGCAGGGAAGAAAAUGACGGUACCUGACUAAGAAGCCCCGGCUAACUACGUA
RNAcentral lists this ribosomal RNA (499 nucleotides) under uncultured Lachnospiraceae bacterium. RNAcentral's name for it is "bacterial SSU rRNA". It matches the Rfam family "Bacterial small subunit ribosomal RNA", at positions 9 to 507 of the family's 1533-position model. Lineage: Bacteria; Bacillati; Bacillota; Clostridia; Lachnospirales; Lachnospiraceae. The record is from RNAcentral.